GGGCUCGUGGGGUAGUGGACAAUCCUCUCGGGCUUCGGACCCGAGGACCGGCGUUCGAAUCGCCGCGGGCCCG
Molecule: transfer RNA, 73 nt
Filed under: Candidatus Mnemosynella sp.
Lineage: Archaea; Methanobacteriati; Methanobacteriota; Archaeoglobi; Candidatus Mnemosynellales; Candidatus Mnemosynellaceae
Description: tRNA-Arg
Rfam family: tRNA
About the family: Transfer RNA (tRNA) molecules are approximately 80 nucleotides in length. Their secondary structure includes four short double-helical elements and three loops (D, anti-codon, and T loops). Further hydrogen bonds mediate the characteristic L-shaped molecular structure. tRNAs have two regions of fundamental functional importance: the anti-codon, which is responsible for specific mRNA codon recognition, and the 3' end, to which the tRNAs corresponding amino acid is attached (by aminoacyl-tRNA synthetases). tRNAs cope with the degeneracy of the genetic code in two manners: having more than one tRNA (with a specific anti-codon) for a particular amino acid; and 'wobble' base-pairing, i.e. permitting non-standard base-pairing at the 3rd anti-codon position.
Source: RNAcentral